UGAUAUUGCUGGAUAUAGUUGAUUCUGCGUCCAUUUUAUUUGAUGUGUGCAAUGCUUAUGUGGAAACAUGUUUAAUGGUUUCAUUGGUACCGGAAGUGACAUAUGUUUAAGGCUAACGUGGCAUCAGUGAAACCUGUCAUUACUGCAUCGCAGUUCUAGUUACUACUUGAUAUUAUGUGAUAAACAAGAUAUUCACGUCGUACUGUAUGGAGACACAAGAUCUGACAAAUCAACUAAUGAAAAUAUUGUAUGUGUUGUUCAUGAUGUUAUUAGUUCAUAGUUUGUAUUAUCCCUGUCUACUAGUAUUUCAAUAUAGUUUAUUCUACAUUUAUUACAGGUCUUACACUUUAAUUUGAGCCCUGUGUACAUUGGAUCCCCACCCGCCAACCACCGUGCCACCACCAAUAUAAGGAGCCAUGAUGGCUCAGUGAGUAAGACGUUGGCUCGCUAACCUGGAGGUCACGUGUUCAAUCCCUGCGUUGGCCAAGAAAGUUCAUCUGGAUUUUCCGGCGUGGUUCCUCCUUGUCAGUGGUGCAGGACCGAGGGACAACGUAUAGUCGUUCGGAUGGGACGAUAAACAGAGGUCCCGUGUACACAUUGCCGUGGACGUAAAAGAUCCGUUGGCAGUUAGAAUUCGAUAUAAGAGUAGGCCGUAGCGCCACUGUCCGGGCAAAAUUUCCCUCGGACCGUAACUUUCUGAAUUAUGGCCCCUGAUUGUACGAAAAAUCGCGUUUUUAGCUUGUGGACCCUAAAGAGAUCAUAAUUUUUAUCCGAUUUAAAAAAACCAUAUUAUUAUAUCACCGUUACACCCUAAGGACGACUGAAUUCGAAUUUCGUGAAAAUCGGCCCAAAAUUGGGAGACAAAAUGGCCUCCGUCCUUUCUCAAAUAGCGUAAGAAUAUGGUAUAUCAAGGUUGUGGACCCUAUAGAGGUCACAAUUUUUAUCCGAUUUUGGUGAAACUUGAAAUGUAAGUUUAUAACCCAAAGAUCUUGGAUACUUUCGAUAUUCACGCAUAUCGGACUGUAACUUCCUGAAUUAUGGCCCCUGAUUGUAUGAAAAAUCGAGUUUUUAGCAUGUGGACCCUAUAGAGGUCAUAAUUUUUAUCCGAUUUAAAAAAACUUAUUGUCCCCCGCCUUUCGAAGAAAGCAGGGGACUAUUAAAAUGGGUUCGUCCGUCUGUCUGUCUGUCUGUCUGUCUGUCUGUCUGUCUGUCUGUCUGUCUGUCUGUCUGUCUGUCUGUCCGUCUGUCCGUCCGUCUGUCUGUCCGUCACACUUUUUGGGACACAAUAACUCUCUUCCUAAUUGAGCUAGAAUGUUCAAACUUGGUGUAUGUGUUUAUUAGGUCAAUGCCUUGAUGGAGUUCGAAGAUGAGCAUUUUCCGCUUAGGGUAAGCAGAGAUAAGCAAUUUGAUUGGUUGAUGCUUUGGGACACGAUAACUCUCUUCCUAAUUGGGCUAGAAUGUUCAAACUUGGUGUAUGUAUUGAUUAGGUCAAUGCCUUGACGGAGUUCGAAGAUGAGCAUUUUCCGCUUAGGGUAAGCAGAGAUAAGCAAUUUGAUUGGUUGAUGCUUUGGGACACGAUAACUUUUAAUUGAGCUAGAAUGUUCAAACUUGGUGCAUGUGUUUAUUAGGUCAAUGCCUUGAUGGAGUUCGAAGAUGAGCAUUUUCCGCUUAGGGUAAGCAGAGAUAAGCAAUUUGAUUGGUUGAUACUUUGGGGCACGAUAACUCUCUUCCUAAUUGAGCUAGAAUGUUCAAACUUGGUGUAUGUGUUGAUUAGGUCAAUGCCUUGAUGGAGUUCGAAGAUGAGCAUUUUCCGCUUAGGGUAAGCCGAGAUAAGCAAUUUGAUUGGUUGAUGCUUUAGGACACAAUAACUUUAGUUCUAAUUAAGUGAGAUUGAUGAAACUUGGUGUAUAGAUUUAUUAUAUGAAUACCUUAACUAAGUUCGAUAAUGAACAUUUUUUGCUGAGGGUAAGCAGAGUGAUAAGCAAUUUGAUUGGUAGAAACUUUGGAACACAAUAACUCUCCUUCUAAUUGAGGUAGAAUGUUCAAACUUGGCAUAGGUGUCUAUUAGGUGAAUGUUUAAACUUGAUGUAUAUGUAGAUGUUCAUUAGGUGAAUGUCUUGACUGAGUUCAAUAAUUAACAUUUCGAGCUGAAGCUAAGCAGAGCUAAUCGAUUUCAUUUGUCGAUGGUUUGGGACAAGAUAAUCUUGAUUCUAUCUGAUAGAGAGUGAUGAAACUUAGUGAAAAAAAUAAAUGUGCGAUUAAUUAAUAUGUGUCAUCUAUUUAUUUUGCAAUUUCGGCGGGGGACAUCAGCCUCACUGUUGGCUUGUUAUUAUAUCACCGUUACACCCUAAGGAGGACUGAGUUCGAAUUUUUUGAAAAUCGGCCCAAAAUUAACAGACAAAAUGGCUGCCGUUCGUUCUCAAAUAGCGUAAAAAUAUGGUAUAUCAAGGUUGUGGACCCUAUAGAGGUCACAAUUUUUAUCCGAUUUUGUUGAAACUUGAAAUGUAAGUUUAUAACACAAAGAUCUCAGUUCCUUUCGAUAUUUGCGCAUAUCGAAUUGUAAUUUCCUGAAUUAUGGCCCUUGAUUGUAGGAAAAAUCACUUUCUUGUUAGCUUGUUCUCUAUCCAUCUCUCGAAAAUGUGGGCGUAUCCUGCCUGGCAGCCGCUGGUAUUUAUUAAAUGUUACAUUUUUACCGAUAAUAGAUAGUUAAUAAUUACAAUAGUAAUUAAUUUUAAAUAUUAUAUUAUAAUUAUAGUGUAUUUUGAAUAUUAAUUUAGGAAUUUUGGGGAAAUAAUCGUAAUAAUAUGUAAAAUAUUUAUUUAUUAUUUAUCUACUCUUGAGGAAAAUAAUCCUUAAAUGAAUUAGAAAAUAAAGGACAUUUAUUAAUAAUUUAUGUGUAAGCUAUUAAUAAAAUUUAUAUAGGCCUAUAGAUACGACUCAAAGACUCUAGAAGACGCCGUAACAUCAGUAAGAAACGGCCUAUCAUACCGAAAGGCAAGCAAAAAAUUUAAUAACCAUAAUGGCCAAAAACUGGUUUGGUCAAAACGGCCCUACUUUGGUCAUAACGGCCAAAACAUUUGGUCAUAACGACCAAACAUUUUAAAUUUAAUGAAAAACAAUAUGAGUAGAUAUAACUUACCUUUGAUAAAAAAAACAACUGACAAUUAAUCUUUGAUAAAAAUAACUGCUGAGUAUUAAUCAUUUGACAAAAAUAACAAUUCAUUCAUCAGAUAAUCAUUUGAACAUGGUUUCAACUAAUUAUCCUAUCCAAUUUAAAUACUCUUUGAUAAUCUCUUUGAAGAUGGCUACAUGUGAUUAGUGGUGAUUAGCAUUAACACUUUGGCUUCACCAGCGAAUAUGUAGCCUAUAUAUGACCAUCACAGAUGUAUCUAUUCAUCACUACCCCUUUACCAGGAACAAGAUAUGGCUGCUUCAAUUCCAACUAAUAAUAAAUGUGUCACCUGUAGGAAAACCAUCCGGAAGAAUCAACAUGCUAUCGAUUGUGAUAUUUGCAAGAACUGGACACACCGAUCUUGCAACACCGGCAUUUCCAAAGAAGAUUACAUGCAGAUUUUAAACUCAGAAACUGAUUUCAGCUUUACCUGCAGCGUAUGCCGUAUACCAGUUGGUAAUUUUUCACAAAUACAGAUACGGUACUUGCAGAUAAUUCCAAUAUUGUUACACCAACAACAAAUAUAUCUUUCCAUGAGGACGUCUUUGAAAGAUCAAUGGAGGAAGAUAUGGUGUGUGAACCAAGUUCAGCUACAACGGUACCAGAGUUUACAGGAAAAUUACAUGCUGUACUAAUUAAUUAACUGAUUGGAUAAUCCCUAAUUAUAUACUUCACACCCUCUUAUCUCUGAUUAGAAAAAAUAGAUGCUUUUACGGUGUCAUGGAAAAGCAUUUCUUUUUAUGCAUUUCCACCUUUUGCUAAGAUUGGCGGUGUUCUUAAGAAAGUUGAGACAGACUGUGCCACAGGAAUACUUAUUGUGCCAUGGUGGAACACAGAAUUUUCUUCUCAAAGUAAAAUAUUUCACAGCAAACUAAAGACAUUCUCCAAUCAUCAUUGAGGAAACCAUCAAUGGUUCAAUACAGAUCGUACAUCGACAAAAGGUUUAGGUACUGUAAUAAAUGGGAAGUGGAUGCCUUUCAACCAUCUGUAGAAAAUAUUCUGGAAUUCCUAACCUCUCUUUUUAAGUCUGGAUUGAAAUACAGUGCAAUUAACACAGCCCGAAGUGCAUUGUCUUCAUUUAUUACAAUUAACAAUCAACCUGUUGGUUCUUUGCCUAUCGUGACAAGAUUUCUAAAAGGUGUUUUUAAUAUUAGACCUGCUUUACCGAGAAAUAAGUGUUCAUGGGAUGUAAAUAUUGUUCUAUCGUGUUUUCUCCUGUGAAGAAAAUCUCUUUAAAACUUCUGACUUUUAAAUUAAUUAUGUUAUUUAGUUUGUUAUCAGCAAGUCGAAUUCAGACUUUGCGGUUGUUGGAUAUAAGAAAUAUCCGAAUGUGAAAAGGUUCAGUUCAUUUUAUAAUUGGUGACAAAUUAAAGCAAACUAGACCCAGAUUUCAUCAAGAACCUAUCAGGAUAAAAGCUUAUGUUCCUGAUAGAUGUUUGUAUUUAAUGACAGUGUUAAAAGAAUAUGUGGAUAGAACAAAAGAUAUUCGUUCAUCUAAUCAAUUAUUUUUAAGCUUCAUAAAGCCUUAUAAACCAGUUGGCAGGGAAACCAUUUCCAGGUGGAUUAAGACAGUUUUAAAAUCAGCUGGAAUUGAUAUAAAACAAUUUGUUCCUUAUAGUGUUCGAUCAGCAGCAUCGAGUGCUGCACUAAGAGCAUGUGUUCCUAUUCAAUCAAUAAUUAAAAGUGCAGGUUGGUCAUGAGAUACCACAUUCAGAAAAUAUUAUAGGAAACCUUUCUCUAAAGAAGGAAUUUUUAGUGCAAAAAGUUUGGAAAAUUUUCAUAACGAUAAUGACUGAUUACAAAACUUUAAGCUUGUUUAUUCCUUAGAUUAAAGAUCUAAGAUCUGAUGUUAUAAAAUAAUUACUAAUAUGGUUUAAUGUGUUUAAUAAUAAAUGCUUUAUUUUUAAAAAAAAACAAAAUUUACAACUGUCUGCGUUUGAUUACAACUUUGAAGUCUCAUGUAGCCUCUAACCCACAGUCAAUCAACAUAGCAGAAUUUAAAAAUUAAACGAAACUUACCUGGAAGUUGAAGUUUGAUUGUAAUUCUGCUAUGUUGUUGACGAGGUUAGAGGUAACAUGCCCUCCAUGUUGGGUCACUCCUUAGGCUUGUGCUGGAGUAAAAUGUUCCCUAACUUCCUAGCUGUCCCCCUUUUUUUCUUCAUUGUAUUAUGUUUGGAAUCAAACACACUUUAAAGAAUGAUCAUUUAGCUGCGCACGCAUCUCAUAUUACCUCUUACCCCGUCAACAACAUAGCAGAAUUACAAUCAAACUUCAACUUCCAGAAAGAUGGGACGAACUGUCAAAAAAGUUGGUACAUGUGGUUUCGUCGUCAAGUGAUCUCAAAUUCGUUGAAUAAAUUUUAUUUUCAUGUUGAAUUGGACAAGAUAAUCUACGCAGUUAUGGGGGCCCUGUUGCUUUAAAGUUAAAGGAGGUGGAAGACUUUGGAUGAUAUUGAGUUAGAGACAUGUGUAAUUUGACAGAUAAACAAGGAAAACUAUGAUUUCUAUGGAAUUUAAAGCAGCAUUAAAAAUUAUGUGGCAUUUAUGAUAAAAAAACCCUUUAAAAUGAAAUAUAGGCCAGGAACUGAAAUGUGAUUUAGGAUUUGUUGACUUUAAUAUAAUAACAGAUUUCAAGUCUUGAUGGUUGGAGUUUGAUUAUCUGAGCAACCUUUAGCCAGUUUAAUUUUCCUGUGUUCUUUUUUAUAAAGCUUGUAGCUGCGCAGUCCUGACUUGGGAAUUUGCUUCAUUAUUUGAAAUUAGAAAAUUUACAGAACAGAUGGGUUAUGCAUACCUGUGAAAUAAAAGGAUGUGAGGAGGGUUACUGUACAAUUGAUGGAAAUUAGAAGUUAAAAAGGAGUAUAUUUUCUGAAGGUGGCGAAAAGAUUUUAAAUGAAGAGGGUUUAACCAUAAGAGACGUGUGCAUAGAUGAUCCUACAUUUAGUGGAAAAUUUAAAAGAUAGGUUGCCAGGCAACGAAACAUACACCCACAGCAACUAAAUCGUCCGGGCAGUCAACAAGAGUUGUCGCAUAUUUUUACUUUUUUCGGUACUGAAACAUUUAUAAUACACUAAAAUCUGAUUAGGAGCAACAACUCACAAAGUAUUGCAGUCAUCACACAAAAACAGAUGUAAAAGGAGUAAUCACAAAAGAUGAGAAUAAAGAAAAAGAUGCAAUUGGCAUAAAAAGAACAAGAGCCAGCUAUUUAGAAUGUGAUGAAAAAAUGGAAGCAAAGAUGAGAAAAUUAGAAAGGGAAACACACAGCUGCAAAGAUAAAAAGAAUUUAAAUAAGUUCUAUGAUACUUUUGCCGGAAUGUUUUUUGCCAUUAGGCCAUGUGGCGUGAUCGUUAGCUGCACAGAGAUGUACACACAUGAGUCACUCACUCAAGCUUUUAUAUUUCUAAGAAAAGUAUUUUGUAGAAAUACUGAAACUUAGAGGUUGAUGGAGCAGAAGCACUAAUAAAAUCAGUUGACUAUUUAGUCGAUAUCUUUCAUGUAAAUAAACACACAAAAAAAUGUUGUAUGCCCUUGAAGAUUAAUGAUGAAUGUGAAUUUCAUCCAAAAUUAGAGAAGUUUUCUGUUAUUCACCUGCUCAAAAUAUUAUGGGGGAGAUUCCACAGCUAGGUCCACAACCUUGAUAUACCAUAUUUUUACGCUAUUUGAGAACAAGGGGCGGCCAUUUUGUCUGUCAGUUUUGGGCCGAUUUCCACGAAAUUCGAAUUCACCUUCCUUAGGGUGUAACGGUGAUAUACUAAAACGUUUUUUUAAAUCGGAUAAAAAUUAUGACCACUAUAGGGUCCACAAGCUAAAAAUGCUAUUUUUCAUACAAUCAGGGGCCAUAAUUCAGUAAGUUACAAUCCGAUAUGCACGAAUAUCGAAAGGAACCGAGAUCUUUGGGUUAUAAACUUACAUUUCAAAAUCAGAAGAAAAUUGUGACCUCUAGAGGGUCCACAACCUUGAUAUACCAUAUUUUUACGCUAUUUGAGAACGAAGGGCGGCCAUUUUGUCUGUCAGUUUUGAGCCGAUUUUCGCAAAGUUCGAAUUCAACCAUCCUUAGGGUCUAACGGUGAUAUACUAAACCGUUUUUUUUUUUAAAUCGGAUAAAAAUUAUCAUCACUAUAGGGUCCACAAGCUAAAAAUGCUAUUUUUCGUACAAUCAGGGGGCCAUAAUUCGGGAAGUUACAGUAUGAUAUGCACGAAUAUCGAAAGGAACCAAGAUCUUUGGGUUAUAAACUUACAUUUCAAGUUUCAUCAAAAUCAGAAGAAAAUUGUGACCUCUAGAGGGUCCACAACCUUGAUAUACCAUAUUUUUACGCUAUUCGAGAACGAGGGGCGGCCAUUUUGUCUGUCAGUUUUGGGCCGAUUUCCACGAAAUUCGAAUUCACCAUCCUAAGGGUGUAACGGUGAUAUACUAAAACGUUUUUUUAAAUCGGAUAAAAAUUAUGACCACUAUUGGGUCCACAAGUUAAAAAUGCUAUUUUUCGUACAAUCAGGGGCCAUAAUUCAGGAAGUUACAGUCCGAUAUGCACGAAUAUCGAAAGGAACCAAGAUCUUUGGGUUAUAAACUUACAUUUCAAAAUCAGAAGAAAAUUGUGACCUCUAGAGGGUCCACAACCUUGAUAUACCAUAUUUUUACGCUAUUUGAGAACGAGGGGCGGCCAUUUUGUCUGUCAGUUUUGGGCCGAUUUUCGCAAAGUUCGAAUUCAACCAUCCUUAGGGUCUAACGGUGAUAUACUAAAACGUUUUUUUUUUAAAUCGGAUAAAAAUUAUCAUCACUAUAGGGUCCACAAGCUAAAAAUGCUAUUUUUCGUACAAUCAGGAGGCCAUAAUUCAGGAAGUUACAGUCCGAUAUGCACGAAUAUCGAAAGGAACCGAGAUAUUUGGGUUAUAAACUUAUAUUUCAAGUUUCAUCAAAAUCAGAAGAAUAUUGUGACUUCUAGAGGGUCCACAACCUUGAUAUACCAUAUUUUUACGCUAUUUGAGAACGAGGGGCAGCCAUUUGUCUGUCAGUUUUGGGCCGAUUUUCAGGAAAUUUGAACUCAACCAACCUUAGGGUGUAACGGUGAUAUACUAUAACUAUAGGGUCCACAAGCUAAAAAUGCUAUUUUUCGUACAAUCAGGAGGCCAUAAUCCAUGAAGUUACAGUCCGAUACAUGCCAAUAUCAAAAGGAACCAAGAUUCUAGGGAGAUAAAACUAUAUUUCAAGUUUCGUUGAAAUCGGAUAAAAAUUGUGACCUGUAGAGUGUCCACAAACAAUUGUAGGGUGUAACUGUGGUAUCAUACGAUCAAGGGCCAUAAUUCUGGAAGUUACAAUCCGAUAUGCGUGAAUAUCGAAAGUAAUCAAGACCUUUGUGAUAUAAGCAUGUUGGAUCAAAAUCGGAAAAAAGAUGUGGCCUCUAGAGGGUCUACAACCUUGAUAUACCACAUAUUUAUAUUUUUGUACGACGUGCCAUGUCAGCAAUCCAUGACUGUGGUUUUCAACUUCUUCAGUAUCCACCCUACUCUCCUGAUUUAGCUCCCUCAGACUUCUUUCUGUUUCCUGCUCUGAAGAAAUGUCUUUCCGGUAGGCAUUUCCCAUCUGACGAUGACGUCAUUGCCGCUGUGGGUGAUUUUCUACACCCCCAAGACAAAGACUUCUACAGAACUGGAAUAAAGGCUCUGCAACACCGAUGGCAGAAGUGUAUUACAUUGAAGGGGGGGCUAUGUUGAAAAAUAAAUGCAUUUGAUUUGAA
Long non-coding RNA from Patella vulgata (common limpet), 8900 nucleotides. RefSeq lists it as uncharacterized. NCBI's taxonomy places the organism in Eukaryota, Metazoa, Mollusca, Gastropoda, Patellidae. The record is from RefSeq and is a predicted model, not a curated record. The transcript has 11 exons.